Molecule: long non-coding RNA, 3380 nt
Filed under: Brassica napus (rape)
Lineage: Eukaryota; Viridiplantae; Streptophyta; Magnoliopsida; Brassicales; Brassicaceae
Description: long non-coding RNA (BNAP_LNC022468)
Source: RNAcentral
UUUGGUCAAACAACAAUGCAUUCAUUCAUUCAAACAUAAAAGUGUUAUCCUCCAACAGAGGAGUUUACAGAAAGCAGAGUGAGAGCAGACUUUGCCACCAAGUCAGCCUCGCCAUUAAAGGUCCUAGAGAUAAAGUGAAAAGAAAUCCGAUCAAAGUACGACAAAGCAUGAUAGAUAUCAAACAUGAUACCGAACAGUUCAGGUUGAGUGGCUUCCUUCUUCGCUAUUAUUCAAACAGCACCCCCAAAUAUUCAAAGUUUUAAUCCGUGUUUCUAACAAUGUAACAUACAACAAAAAAAUUGAGUAAGGACUCAAGGUAUAUAUGAUUAGUAGAAGAAAAUAUAAGUAGCCGAAAAUAUAAUCGUUAGUCUUACUUUCAAACGCCAGUCUAUAUAUUUGAGAUUGAUGUAAUUUUCAUGUAAAAUACAAUAUUGUGUCACUUUGCAUGUUACUAUCAGAUCCAAAUGAUUAAUUGAUAAUUACAUAGUGAAAAAUACGAGGCGAACGAGUAUGAAAAUAUACGCACCGGUGAUAUAUUUGGUGACGAUUGUCUCAAAUCCAAAGCGGCAAGUGUCGCAGUAAACACAUCCUUCUAUAUGAAAUGGUGUUCCAGCCGCCAUGGCCGCAAGUGGCAGUAGCAAAACACACAUCACGGCGAGCAGAGGUGUAUAUGAUCUAGCCAUCUACAUAAACAACUGAAGAAUGAUACUAUAAUUUUUGGAGUUUGUUUUUUUUUUUGAGAGUUUGUUGCUUGUGAAGGGGUUUUGUGAAUUAAUUAUUUGCGAGCUACCUAGUAUAUAUAAGAAGGAAGCUGAAAGGCACAUGUAUCAAAGAUGUAAGUGUAUCGCAUCGUGUGCGAAUUAAAAAAAAAGCUUGCUUAGUGUCGGCUAGAUCCAAUUGCGGCUCCUCCUCCGCCUUCUACGGCAAAUGUGGAUAGAGUUUGUGUUGCCUCCUCCACAUGUCUAACUCGUACGGUUCUUGUUAAUUCUAGUCUACGUUUUAAGCUUUUUUUUUUAACAACCAAUGCUUAUAUUAAAAUUAAACGCCCAAUGGGCUAAGUCGAUUACAACCGAAGAGAUAUUCGACGGUAAAAUGAUAAGCAAACAUAACUAAAACAUAAAAAAGAUAGAUGUGGCUAAGGAAAAAAGAACCCCGUAGAAAAUCUUCGCUUGUUGUCCUAAAGCCCGCGUUUGAAAGAACAUACAAAAGUCGACAUUGACGUUGAAGAACCCAACCAAUGGGUUUUGAGAACAAUUGAAAACCGUCUCUGAAAAUGCAUGGAUCUCCCGACGUUGCAGUGACACUGAAGUGCAGAGAAGUUGCCGGAGUAGGACUACACACAUAAUCGUCGACGGUACAACCGCUAAAGAAAAACAGUUAACAAAGUCAGGAGAAGGCAUUGACAAUGAUUGCUUGGCCGGCAAGAGAUGCAAAAUCCAAACAUGGUGAACAUCCACAAGAUCGAGGCCGCCUUAGUAACUACAUAGUUACAGGUGAACAUUGACAACCUCUAUGUUUCGAGCUACGGUUUAUUUUUUUGGACAAGUAUAGAUUGUUAUUUUCAGGAUUAUUUUCACUAGUUAUUAGUUUAUCAUUUCUUCAGUCUACGUGAAAAGAACAAAACAUGGUGAACAUCUACAAGAUCGAGGCCGCCUUAGUAACUACAUAGACAGACUUGUCAGGGACCGCAUUGACUCACUCCGAGGCUCUGCAAAUGGCAGCUUUGACACACACUUGCAGGCUUGGUUUACAAGCUGAUGAGAGAAGAUGAGAGCUUUAGAAUCAGUUUUUUAAAUAGUUUCUAUAAACACAACUCAAACAAAGUUACAUAGGUUGUAAAAAAAAAAUUUGAUCAGAAUAAAUUUAACAUUCAUUCAAAAAUAACAAAAAAAAUCGUUUUCACAGAGUUUUCUAGACUGAAUCAAAGGCGUUGAUUUUUAUUUUUAAGUAGAAGACCAAGAAAACAAUAUGUUUUUAUUAGAUAAAAAUUAUUAAAUUUCCUCUUCAAAUUGCGUAAUGGCUUUUCCAUACCAUGUUGAUCCAUGAUUUUGUAUCGUAGGUUGGUUAUGUACAGUAUUAUUUAAUUUAAAUAAAAAUUAUAAAUAGUGAUGACUAAUUAAUUUUGUCUUGAUUAAAUUCAGUUUUGACGUUAACCGUGGCUUAUAAUAACAGGAAAAACGUUGGUACUUGGAAGGUGAAAGUGACCGCGGGAUUAGUAAAAGUCUUGUCCAUUUGAUGGUCGGUUACAUUAGCAGCAAUUGAUCUUAUGAACAAGACUUAUUGGGCCCAGAGGAACCGAUGACAGCCACUACACGUCUUAAAUACAAACAAAAUAGUCCACAAAAGAGAAAGCGCCAGAGAGUCCCCAAGUCUGGAAAGCCGAUAAGUCAACACGGAACUCUCCUUCCUCCAAGUCAGGCAAAGAAGCCGUAUGAGAAACAUUCUUUGAACAUGUGAUUAAGGCCCUGUUCGUUACGGAAUCGCUGCGGCAGCGACCAGAAAAUUAACACUAAUGAAGAGCGAAGUAGCUAUGGUGGAACAGAAAUAGUCGCUGGAAGUGAUUUCCGGAUAACUCCGUGACGUCUUUUAUGGACGCCAAUUUUUUCAGCGACGUCUCUUGUUUGCCGCUGCGACACUAAAUAGCUCCUUCACCCACGUUUCACUCCAUUAAUUAAUAGAAUCACUGUUAUAUUUUCUGUCGCUGCUGCUGCCGCAGCGGUUCUGAAACGAACAGGGCCUAAGGAGGGAGGAGUACGAAGAUGAGGUGGCGAUGAGGAUGCAUGCGUGGGACAUGGAAGGGAUGCCUCUAGGGAAGGAGUCCCCAAGUCUCCUUUGCAAAGUAAGCCGUAUUCUUCUUCGCCGUGAAGCAAACACAGUUUUUUUAUUGUUGGGUGCAAAUGUUAGAAGCAAACAAAGUUGUUUUGGGUCAAAGUGCAAACACAGAUUUUAACCGAACAGAGGGAUACACAAGCAAGCUCGAAGUAAUUCUCUGUCGACAAAGCAAGGUCCAAAUUUGAAAGUGUCUUGCAUAGAUUUUUUUUUUUUUUAGUUUUUUUGGUCAAACAACAAUGCAUUCAUUCAUUCAAACAUAAAAGUGUUAUCCUCCAACAGAGGAGUUUACAGAAAGCAGAGUGAGAGCAGACUUUGCCACCAAGUCAGCCUCGCCAUUAAAGGUCCUAGAGAUAAAGUGAAAAGAAAUCCGAUCAAAGUACGACAAAGCAUGAUAGAUAUCAAACAUGAUACCGAACAGUUCAGGUUGAGUGGCUUCCUUCUUCGGUAGAGAGACGAGGGAGAGCGAAUCGGUUAGAACGGCCAGGGAUCGGACGUUUGAAUAGACGGAUGUAACAACCGCGAGGCGAACAGCUAUGGCCUCUGCCAUA